CGGGUGUCAGCGGGCCGCACUCGCUCUGUGCCGGAGGCGUGAGUCCUCACCCGAGCCGCUCGGUCCUGCGGCCGCUCUGGGUCCGCCCUGGGCAGGCUCAGGGGUGGCGGACGAGCCGGCGAGCGGAGGGGCGGCGCCCUGACGGGCGGGGCGACCCGGAGCUGCAGAGCGGGAUGGACAGGUGGGCGUGGGCUGCGCGGCCGGCGGAACUGGCCGGCCAUCCCGCCGCGGCCCUGACGCCUGGGCUGCGCUGGCUGCUGGGGUCAAAUCCCAGCUGACCUUUCUCCGGAGAAAAGAUAAAUUAUUAUGGUUGUGUGUGCGCGUCAGUGCAAAUAUUUUCCGAGCCCUCCUCCGGCUCUGGGUGCCUUUUGGAUCCCCCGCAUUCCUCAGCCCCGGGCAGGGAGCGGCGGCGCCCUUUGUGUCUCCGCGGAGUGCAUGCCACCUCGGGGAAAAGAGCGAACCUGAGUUAGAACGAACGGGGAGAGAGAGACACUAGCGUGAGUUUUGUUAAUCUUUUAAAGCCUCCCGGUGAACCUAGAAACCCAAAAAUUAACUUGAACAGCAAAUGCUCUGGGGUUUAGAGAACGUUUGUUUCUUUGUCUUUUUCAUUGCCUCUUCCGUGCCAAAAAUUAUCUGUUCGCUGGAGAACACAUCCGGAAAGAGCUGUUUUCCCCUGUUCAUCCAGUGAGAAGAUGUGUUUUCUCUCUACCAGUUAGAUUUCUUCUUUUGUCGGAAAGAAGAGCAUCUGUCCUCCAGGCUGGGCUUUGUCUCCGUUUGCUCUGCAACCGCACUAGCGCAGCAAGGCUACAUAAGGAGGCUUUUCAGCAGAGGAGCCUGGUGUUGAGCUGGUGCCAUGGGGAAUGAAUUCUUCUAUAGACCCCUCGUCCUCUUCUGGAAGUUAAAGGGGGGCGAUUUGAAAAAAAAGCAUAUGUGCAUGAAUGUGUCUUCCCGUCCUAGCAUUUUGUGCCUUUGUGCCUUUAAAGUCCCUGUGCUUCUGAGUGGACUCGACUGUCAGUGCAGCUCAAGGCCCUCACUAGCCUCCACACUCAGAGUUCCCCUGACAGAGCCAGUGUAAACUGGUUUUCACAGCAUGAGCUGUAUUCCUGCUGAAGAACUGGCUUUUACAGAAUUUGCAAAGCUAGCAAUUAGACAACUAACACCCAUGCCACUGUGUUGUUAAAGGGAAAAGUCAGUAUUGCUAGAGACCGAGAAUGGAUCUCUGCAGCGUUGUUUUUAUGGGAAGAAAUAUGUAUGUAAAGAAGCCAACAGACAGUGCAGGGCUAAAUCCAUGUCCGCUGCCCUUGGUUUCUGGUUUACUUUAAAAAGCUCCAUCUGCAUCAUCUUGACAAGUGAACCAGUUCCCAAAGUAUAAUGCAUUGUAAGUAUUUAGUAUAUUGAUAACGGCUUGAAAUCUACAGAAUACCUGUGAUUUUUCUCACAGCCGAAAAGACCCGAACUAUUAUGUGUUCAGCCAAGGAGAGCUUUAGGCUGGCCCACUAUCCCACUAAUCCUCAUUGUUUGAGACGCGGCGAUAAAUGGGGAGUGGUAGGCCAGGCCUGUGUUCCAAGAACAGGGAGGCGUGGCAGG
Molecule: non-coding RNA, 1587 nt
Organism: Mus caroli (Ryukyu mouse)
Lineage: Eukaryota; Metazoa; Chordata; Mammalia; Rodentia; Muridae
Source: RefSeq, a predicted model, not a curated record